UACGAAGGGGGCUAGCGUUGCUCGGAAUCACUGGGCGUAAAGGGUGCGUAGGCGGGUCUUUAAGUCAGGGGUGAAAUCCUGGAGCUCAACUCCAGAACUGCCUUUGAUACUGGAGUCUCGAGUUCGGGAGAGGUGAGUGGAACUGCGAGUGUAGAGGUGAAAUUCGUAGAUAUUCGCAAGAACACCAGUGGCGAAGGCGGCUCACUGGCCCGAUACUGACGCUGAGGUG
This 229-nucleotide ribosomal RNA is filed under the name uncultured bacterium. Its description in RNAcentral is "partial 16S ribosomal RNA". It matches the Rfam family "Bacterial small subunit ribosomal RNA", at positions 524 to 753 of the family's 1533-position model. The record is from RNAcentral.